CGGGCGAGCACGGGGGCUGCGGGCGGGGCCCGGGGAGCUCCGUGCCGGGCAGCUCCCGCGGGAGGGCCCCGGCCCCGGCCCCGGCCCCGCCGGGCAGCUCCACGUGCCCGCAGCCGCAGGCCCGCGGCGAGCGGCAGCUCCGGGCUGGGGCGGGCCGCAAGGCGCUCUGGGAGUUGUAGUCCCCGGCCUGGCGCGGGGCCCUACCCGCCGCCCUGCCCCGCUCCCGCCGGCUCCUCGCUGCCGCCCGCGGGGGUCCCGUGGCCGCUGCCCCGCCUCGGCGCCCGCCGGACUACAGCUCCCGGCGGGCCCCGCUCGCGCCCGGGCUUCCGCUUCUCCCGCGCGGCGCCCCCUGGGGCUUGUAGUCUCCCCUCGCUAUUCACGACGGCCUCUGCGCCGUUUCCGCGCCGUAGCGGCCGGAGGCCGGAAUGGGGCGCUACGCCACGGCGGCGGCCCAGGCAGCGUGCCCCUCCAGACAUCCUUCCGUGCGCAUGCAGAUCUCCAGGGGGAUCCUGCCCUGUUGCUAAUUGUCGAGAGCUGUCCAGAAUCCUUAUCGUUAAGACCCUGCUGCGCUCGUGAGGCGCUCUGUUACCCGAUACAGCCGAGCCCGGCACCGCGACGCUCAGCAGCCGCCGUGGAGCAAGGCCAGCGGAGGGAGCAGGGCCGUACAGCCACAGCCCAAGGUGCUGACAGCAGAGCGAAGAGCCCGAGCCGACCCAAAAGCGCGCGACUCCCGUCUCCAGGUGGGACCGAGCGCCGGCCCGUCGCCAGCCCGAUGCCGCAGGAAGCACCGAGCCCUCUGGGAGCUGCAGUUCGGGUGGACGCCGAGUGAGCGACCCGAAAUGUGAGCAGCUCGGCGCAGCUGCCGCUCCUCCUGGCAGGCGCAGCGGUGCCGGCGGUUCUGCGCAGAGACCAUCUAGCAUGCUCCUCCAGCCGCGCCGCUCAGCUGGCGCCAGCAGCAGCCGUUCGAUCCCGGGGACGCCGGGCUGACCUCGCACCAAGCGGGCAUCGCCUCUGCAGAGCAGAAGCCGGGUCGG
Molecule: long non-coding RNA, 1034 nt
Filed under: Anser brachyrhynchus (Pink-footed goose)
Lineage: Eukaryota; Metazoa; Chordata; Aves; Anseriformes; Anatidae
Description: lncRNA (ENSABRG00000002235.1)
Source: RNAcentral